GAAGAAGAACAAAGAUGAACAAAAAGAAGAAAAUAAGAAUAGAAAAGAAGGAGAAUAAGAAGAGGAUGAUAAGAAAAGAAGGAGAAUAAGAACAGGAGUAGAGGAGAAGAAGAGGAAAAAUAGAAGAAGAGGAGAAGUAGAAGAAGAGGAGAAGUAGAAGAAAAGGAGGAGGAGAAGAAGCGGUGAAGAAGAAGAAGAAGAAGAAGAAGAAGAAGAAGAAGAAGAAGAAGAAGAAGAAGAAG
Molecule: long non-coding RNA, 242 nt
Filed under: Hordeum vulgare
Lineage: Eukaryota; Viridiplantae; Streptophyta; Magnoliopsida; Poales; Poaceae
Description: long non-coding RNA (HVUL_LNC013058)
Source: RNAcentral